AAUGAACGCUAGCGGCAGGCCUAAUACAUGCAAGUCGUACGGGAUUCAGGAGCUUGCUUCUGAUGAGAGUGGCGCACGGGUGCGUAACACGUAUGUAACCUACCUUUAUCAGGGGGAUAGCCUCUCGAAAGAGAGAUUAAGCCCGCAUAAAAUCACAGCACAGCAUUGUGUAAUGAUCAAAUAUUUAUAUGAUUAAGAUGGGCAUGCGGAACAUUAGCUAGAUGGCGGGGUAACGGCCAACCAUGGCGACGAUGUUUAGGGGAUCUGAGAGGAUGGCCCCGGACAAUGGUACUGAGACACGGACCAGACUGCGACGGGAGGCAGAAGUAAGGAAUAUUGGUCAAUGGGCGGAAGCCUGAACCAGCCAUGCAGCGUGCAGGAAGACGGCCCUACGGGUUGUAAACUGCUUUUAUACGGGAAUAAACCCAGAUACGUGUAUCUGGCUGAAUGUACUGUAAGAAGGAGGAGCGGCUAACUCCGU
RNAcentral lists this ribosomal RNA (481 nucleotides) under uncultured bacterium. RNAcentral's name for it is "partial 16S ribosomal RNA". It matches the Rfam family "Bacterial small subunit ribosomal RNA", at positions 29 to 506 of the family's 1533-position model. The record is from RNAcentral.